This 67-nucleotide transfer RNA is filed under the name Marmota monax (woodchuck). RNAcentral's name for it is "tRNA.Ala". Lineage: Eukaryota; Metazoa; Chordata; Mammalia; Rodentia; Sciuridae. The record is from RNAcentral.
GGAUUGUGGCUCAGUGUAGAGUGCUUGCCUAGCAUGUGUGAGGCACUGGGUUCGAUCCCCAGCACCA